GGCGAGAUGGCCGAGCGGUCCAAGGCGCUCGUUUUACGCAACAGGCCCUUCGGGGGCGUAGGUUCGAAUCCUACUCUCGUCA
This 82-nucleotide transfer RNA is filed under the name Angiostrongylus costaricensis. It matches the Rfam family "tRNA". From Rfam's summary of the family: Transfer RNA (tRNA) molecules are approximately 80 nucleotides in length. Their secondary structure includes four short double-helical elements and three loops (D, anti-codon, and T loops). Further hydrogen bonds mediate the characteristic L-shaped molecular structure. tRNAs have two regions of fundamental functional importance: the anti-codon, which is responsible for specific mRNA codon recognition, and the 3' end, to which the tRNAs corresponding amino acid is attached (by aminoacyl-tRNA synthetases). tRNAs cope with the degeneracy of the genetic code in two manners: having more than one tRNA (with a specific anti-codon) for a particular amino acid; and 'wobble' base-pairing, i.e. permitting non-standard base-pairing at the 3rd anti-codon position. The record is from Rfam by way of RNAcentral. Lineage: Eukaryota; Metazoa; Nematoda; Chromadorea; Rhabditida; Metastrongylidae.